RNAcentral lists this ribosomal RNA (497 nucleotides) under uncultured bacterium. RNAcentral's name for it is "partial 16S ribosomal RNA". It matches the Rfam family "Bacterial small subunit ribosomal RNA", at positions 28 to 507 of the family's 1533-position model. The record is from RNAcentral.
GAUGAACGCUGGCGGCGUGCCUAAUACAUGCAAGUCGAGCGAACAGAUAAGGAGCUUGCUCCUUUGACGUUAGCGGCGGACGGGUGAGUAACACGUGGGUAACCUACCUAUAAGACUGGGAUAACUUCGGGAAACCGGAGCUAAUACCGGAUAACAUUUGGAACCGCAUGGUUCUAAAGUGAAAGAUGGUUUUGCUAUCACUUAUAGAUGGACCCGCGCCGUAUUAGCUAGUUGGUAAGGUAACGGCUUACCAAGGCAACGAUACGUAGCCGACCUGAGAGGGUGAUCGGCCACACGGGAACUGAGACACGGUCCAGACUCCUACGGGAGGCAGCAGUAGGGAAUCUUCCGCAAAGGGCGAAAGCCUGACGGAGCAACGCCGCGUGAGUGAUGAAGGGUUUCGGCUCGUAAAACUCUGUUAUUAGGGAAGAACAAACGUGUAAGUAACUGUGCACGUCUUGACGGUACCUAAUCAGAAAGCCACGGCUAACUACGUG